This 253-nucleotide ribosomal RNA is filed under the name uncultured bacterium. RNAcentral's name for it is "partial 16S ribosomal RNA". It matches the Rfam family "Bacterial small subunit ribosomal RNA", at positions 524 to 776 of the family's 1533-position model. The record is from RNAcentral.
UACGUAGGGGGCGAGCGUUGUCCGGAAUCAUUGGGCGUAAAGAGCUCGUAGGCGGCCUGUUGCGUCCGCUGUGAAAGCCCGGGGCUUAACCCCGGGUCUGCAGUGGAUACGGGCAGGCUAGAGGUAGGUAGGGGAGAAUGGAAUUCCCGGUGUAGCGGUGAAAUGCGCAGAUAUCGGGAGGAACACCGGUGGCGAAGGCGGUUCUCUGGGCCUUACCUGACGCUGAGGAGCGAAAGCCAGGGGAGCGAACGGG